RNAcentral lists this ribosomal RNA (253 nucleotides) under uncultured bacterium. Its description in RNAcentral is "partial 16S ribosomal RNA". It matches the Rfam family "Bacterial small subunit ribosomal RNA", at positions 524 to 776 of the family's 1533-position model. The record is from RNAcentral.
UACGGAGGGAGCUAGCGUUGUUCGGAAUUACUGGGCGUAAAGCGCACGUAGGCGGCUUUUUAAGUCAGGGGUGAAAUCCCGGGGCUCAACCCCGGAACUGCCCUUGAAACUGGGAAGCUAGAAUCUUGGAGAGGCGAGUGGAAUUCCGAGUGUAGAGGUGUAAUUCGUAGAUAUUCGGAAGAACACCAGUGGCUGAGGCGACUCGCUGGACAAGUAUUGACGCUGAGGUGCGAAAGCGUGGGGAGCAAACAGG